This 777-nucleotide long non-coding RNA is filed under the name Homo sapiens (human). Its description in RNAcentral is "LHRI_LNC522.9". The record is from RNAcentral. Lineage: Eukaryota; Metazoa; Chordata; Mammalia; Primates; Hominidae.
GGGUGUGGUACUGAGGCUUCAGCGGGUGCCGCCCGCCUAGAGGGAGUGGAGCGGUGAGCACGUCAGGGGUGGGGGGCGCAGGUCAAGCUUUCACCAGUUUUUAAUUCUUUGAUGGGGUAAAUUUGAGCAAUUUUCUCGACUUGUCGACAUUCGUUAUUAACUGAGCAGGAAUCAGGAGAGGAACCCGGUCCUCUCCACACAGCCCAGCAGGUACGCCGCCCAUGUGCCUGUGGAGAAGAGAGGUUCCUGUGGGGCAGACAGAGAGCCUACGACUAGAUUUGCAUCUUUACGUCCUGCGCGGAGGCUGCUACACACAUGCAGAAGUCAUGCUGGUGGCCUGGACAUUGAAGGGAGAGAAGUGGAUUUGGGAGACAUUUAGGAGGAACAGUAAGAGGACCUUGUGCAUGAAUAAUUUGUUUCCACACUACAGAGUGGGUAAUAAGCAGAUUAGUAAAAACAAUUCUGCUUCACUUCAAUAACAGCCUCCUCCAACUCAUUUUUUCUCAACAAACUUAUUUUUCCAGCAGAAGAAUCCCAGUCUUCUUAGAGAACCCAGUGACUUUUUGCACCUUAAAUCUGUGAAAUCCUCAUGUUUUCUUCUGCCGUAUCCAUAGUUCAAACAAAGAUGAGGCAAAGCUAGAUGCAUUCCUGAAGGAACCCAAGAAAUUCCUCUCUUUAUUUCUCUGGAAUGAAAUGAAUUCUCUAGACGACCAGUUCUAACCUUCAAAAACCAAACCUGUUUGUGAGAUCUCCUUCAAAUACUACUGUAGACCCCAG